RNAcentral lists this ribosomal RNA (253 nucleotides) under uncultured bacterium. Its description in RNAcentral is "partial 16S ribosomal RNA". It matches the Rfam family "Bacterial small subunit ribosomal RNA", at positions 524 to 776 of the family's 1533-position model. The record is from RNAcentral.
UACGAAGGGGGCUAGCGUUGUUCGGAUUUACUGGGCGUAAAGCGCACGUAGGCGGAUCGUUAAGUGAGGGGUGAAAUCCCAGGGCUCAACCCUGGAACUGCCUUUCAUACUGGCGAUCUUGAGUCCGGAAGAGGUGAGUGGAACUCCUAGUGUAGAGGUGGAAUUCGUAGAUAUUAGGAAGAACACCAGUGGCGAAGGCGGCACUCUGGGCCGGUACUGACGCUGAGGAGCGAAAGCGUGGGGAGCAAACAGG